GAUGAACGCUAGCGACAGGCCUAACACAUGCAAGUCGAGGGGCAGCACAUGAGUAGCAAUACGAUGGUGGCGACCGGCGCACGGGUGAGUAACACGUAUGCAACCUGCCUUCUACUAUGGGAUAACCCGUUGAAAGACGGACUAAUACCGUAUAAUACAGGGGCUCCGCAUGGAGAUAUUUGUUAAAGAUUUAUUGGUAGAAGAUGGGCAUGCGUAUGAUUAGAUAGUUGGUGAGGUAACGGCUCACCAAGUCAACGAUCAUUAGGGGUUCUGAGAGGAAGGUCCCCCACACUGGUACUGAGACACGGACCAGACUCCUACGGGAGCAGCAGUGAGGAAUAUUGGUCAAUGGACGAGAGUCUGAACCAGCCAAGUCGCGUGAAGGAAGACGGUUCUAUGAAUUGUAAACUUCUUUUGUGCAGGAAUAAAGUGGGUUACGUGUAACCUUUUGUAUGUACUGUACGAAUAAGGAUCGGCUAACUCCGUGCCAGC
This 492-nucleotide ribosomal RNA is filed under the name uncultured bacterium. RNAcentral describes it as "bacterial SSU rRNA". It matches the Rfam family "Bacterial small subunit ribosomal RNA", at positions 28 to 512 of the family's 1533-position model. The record is from RNAcentral.